UUGGCUUUUUGGGGUGGCAGGUAGCGUAGUGGUUAGAGUGUUGGACUAGUAACCAGCAGGGAGCCUAGUGGUUAGAGUGUUGGACUAGUAACCAGCAGGUAGCCUAGUGGUUAGAGUGUUGGACUAGUAACCAGCAGGUAGACUAGUGGUUAGAGCGUUGGACUAGUAACCAGCAGGUAGCCUAGUGGUUAGAGUGUUGGACUAGUAACCAGCAGGUAGACUAGUGGUUAGAGCGUUGGACUAGUAACCAGCAGGUAGCCUAGUGGUUAGAGUGUUGGACUAGUAACCAGAAGGUAGACUAGUGGUUAG
This is a long non-coding RNA of Oncorhynchus keta (chum salmon), 309 nucleotides long. RefSeq lists it as uncharacterized. The transcript has 3 exons. NCBI's taxonomy places the organism in Eukaryota, Metazoa, Chordata, Actinopteri, Salmoniformes, Salmonidae. The record is from RefSeq and is a predicted model, not a curated record.